AACCGGGGGCACCCUGACCGCAAUGCCGCGUGAGUGAAGAAGGCCUUCGGGUUGUAAAGCUCUUUUGUCAGGGAAGAAACAGCAGCUCUAACACAGUCUGCGAAUGACGGUACCUGAAGAAUAAGCACCGGCUAACUACGUGCCAGCAGCCGCGGUAAUACGUAGGGUGCGAGCGUUAAUCGGAAUUACUGGGCGUAAAGCGUGCGCAGGCGGUUAUACAAGACAGGCGUGAAAUCCCCGGGCUUAACCUGGGAAUGGCGCCUGUGACUGUAUAGCUAGAGUGUGUCAGAGGGGGGUAGAAUUCCACGUGUAGGGGUGAAAUGCGUAGAUAUGUGGAGGAAUACCAAUGGCGAAGGCAGCCCCCUGGGAUAACACUGACGCUCAUGCACGAAA
This 393-nucleotide ribosomal RNA is filed under the name uncultured bacterium. Its description in RNAcentral is "bacterial SSU rRNA". It matches the Rfam family "Bacterial small subunit ribosomal RNA", at positions 370 to 758 of the family's 1533-position model. The record is from RNAcentral.